AUGGCGCUCGUCCCACAUGGCGGCGGCGCGGGCGGAUCGGCGACGAUGGCGAUGCCGAUGCUAACCGCGGACAACUACACGGUUUGGGCCAUCAAGGCACAGGCGAUCCUCGACAUCCACACCGUAUGGGAGGCGGUGGCACCGGGCGACGCGGCGGUGAACACCAAGAAGGACAAGAUGACGCGGGCGUUGCUCCUCGGGGCGUUGCCGGAGGAUGUGCUGCUGCAGGUGUCGACGAAGCUCAACGCCAGGGAGGGAUGGGACUCUCUGAAGGUGAGGUUCGUCGGCGCCGAUCGGGUCCGCGCGGCGAGGCUGGGGACGCUGCGCGGUGAAUUCGACCGGAUGAAGAUGGCGGACGGCGAGGAGCUCGACGUGUACGGCGGGAGGCUCGCGGCGAUGGCUGCGAGGUAUGCCAACCUCGGGGAGACGCUGGGCGACGCAGCACUUGUCAAGAAGUUGCUGGAUACGGUGCCGGAUCGCCUCUUCUCCGUCGUCGCCGGCAUCGAGCAGUUCCACGACGUGACGACGAUGGCGUUCGACGUAGCGCUCGGGCGGCUGCGUGCGUUCGACUAG
Molecule: ribosomal RNA, 573 nt
Filed under: Triticum aestivum (bread wheat)
Lineage: Eukaryota; Viridiplantae; Streptophyta; Magnoliopsida; Poales; Poaceae
Description: partial small subunit ribosomal RNA
Source: RNAcentral